This 398-nucleotide long non-coding RNA is filed under the name Rattus norvegicus (Norway rat). RNAcentral's name for it is "long non-coding RNA NONRATT005311". Lineage: Eukaryota; Metazoa; Chordata; Mammalia; Rodentia; Muridae. The record is from RNAcentral.
GGCUAAGGAGCUGGAGGAACCCGACGCCCCUCGCUGCUCAUCCCAGGAGCCAGACGCACCUUGCCACUUGGCCAAGGAUCUGGAGGAAACCGACUCCCCUCGCUGCUGGCCCCUGGAGCCAGACGCACCGUGCCACUUGGCCAAGGAGUGGGAGGAACCCGACGUCCCUCGGUGCUGGCCCCAGGAACCAGACGCACCGUGCCAUUUGGCCAAAUAUCUAGAGGAACCUGACGCCCCUCUCUGCUGGCCCCAGGAACCAGACGCAUUCUGCUACUUGCUAAAGGAGGUGGAGGAACCCGAUGUCCCUCGCUGCCGGCCUCAAGAGCCAGACGCACCGUGCCACUUGGCUGAGGAACUGGAGGACCUUGACGCCCCUCGCUGCUGGACCCAGGAACCCA